AUACGGAAGGUCCGGGCGUUAUCCGGAUUUAUUGGGUUUAAAGGGAGCGUAGGCGGGAGCUUAAGUCAGCGGUUAAAUGGUGCGGCUCAACCGUGCCCUGCCGUUGAAACUGGGUUUCUUGAGAGUGCAAGAGGCGGAUGGAAUUCAUGGUGUAGCGGUGAAAUGCUUAGAUAUCAUGAAGAACUCCGAUUGCGAAGGCAGUCCGCUGGGGCACGUCUGACGCUGAUGCUCGAAGGUGCGGGAAUCAAACAGGAUUAGAUACCCUGGUAGUCCGCACGGUAAACGAUGAUUACCCGCUGUCGGCGGUAGACAGUCGGCGGCCAAGCGAAAGCGAUAAGUAAUCCACCUGGGGAGUACGCCGGCAACGGUGAAACUCAAAGGAAUUGACGGGG
This 392-nucleotide ribosomal RNA is filed under the name uncultured bacterium. RNAcentral describes it as "partial 16S ribosomal RNA". It matches the Rfam family "Bacterial small subunit ribosomal RNA", at positions 523 to 918 of the family's 1533-position model. The record is from RNAcentral.